Molecule: ribosomal RNA, 301 nt
Filed under: uncultured bacterium
Lineage: Bacteria
Description: partial 16S ribosomal RNA
Rfam family: Bacterial small subunit ribosomal RNA
Source: RNAcentral
CAGUCGCCGCGGGAAUACGAAGGGUGCAAGCGUUACUCGGAAUUACUGGGCGUAAAGCGUGCGUAGGUGGUGGUUUAAGUCCGUUGUGAAAGCCCUGGGCUCAACCUGGGAAUUGCAGUGAAUACUGGGUCACUAGAGUGUGGUAGAGGAUAGUGGAAUUUCCGGUGUAGCAGUGAAAUGCGUAGAGAUCGGAAGGAACAUCUGUGGCGAAGGCGACUAUCUGGGCCAACACUGACGCUGAGGCACGAAAGCGUGGGGAGCAAACAGGAUUAGAUACCCGUGUAGUCCCUGUCUCUUAUAC